RNAcentral lists this ribosomal RNA (377 nucleotides) under uncultured bacterium. RNAcentral describes it as "bacterial SSU rRNA". It matches the Rfam family "Bacterial small subunit ribosomal RNA", at positions 523 to 898 of the family's 1533-position model. The record is from RNAcentral.
AUACGUAGGUGGCAAGCGUUGUCCGGAAUUAUUGGGCGUAAAGCGCGCGCAGGCGGUCCUUUAAGUCUGAUGUGAAAGCCCACGGCUCAACCGUGGAGGGUCAUUGGAAACUGGGGGACUUGAGUACAGAAGAGGAAAGCGGAAUUCCACGUGUAGCGGUGAAAUGCGUAGAGAUGUGGAGGAACACCAGUGGCGAAGGCGGCUUUCUGGUCUGUAACUGACGCUGAGGCGCGAAAGCGUGGGGAGCAAACAGGAUUAGAUACCCUGGUAGUCCACGCCGUAAACGAUGAGUGCUAAGUGUUAGAGGGUUUCCGCCCUUUAGUGCUGCAGCUAACGCAUUAAGCACUCCGCCUGGGGAGUACGGCCGCAAGGCUGAA